This 238-nucleotide ribosomal RNA is filed under the name uncultured bacterium. Its description in RNAcentral is "partial 16S ribosomal RNA". It matches the Rfam family "Bacterial small subunit ribosomal RNA", at positions 524 to 760 of the family's 1533-position model. The record is from RNAcentral.
UACGGAGGGUGCGAGCGUUGUCCGGAAUCACUGGGCGUAAAGGGCGCGUAGGUGGCGCGACAAGUCAACGGUGAAAGCUCGGCGCUCAACGCCGAGUCGGCCGUCGAUACUGUUGGGCUUGAGCACUGGUAGAGGCUAAUGGAAUUCCGGGUGUAGCGGUGGAAUGCGUAGAGAUCGGCAGGAACACCCAGGGGGAAACCAGUGGACUGGGCAUGUGCUGACGCUCAGGUGCGAAAGC